This 139-nucleotide small nucleolar RNA is filed under the name Ornithorhynchus anatinus (platypus). Lineage: Eukaryota; Metazoa; Chordata; Mammalia; Monotremata; Ornithorhynchidae. The record is from RNAcentral.
GACCUCUCAGGGUCACAACCGGGAGAGUUUCCAGUACUCCACCAGUCUCGACUAUAGGAGGGAGAGUCAAGCAGAGGCAUACCCAUUUCAUUCCUGGCUUGGGCAGUGGCUAGCAAGUGGAAGGCACUCCGCUACAAGU